AGCUGCUGGUGGUAGUAGUAGUAGUAUUUAACUUCACCGACGGCAGGCGCUUCGGUCCCAAACGAAAUCGCUAGGCCGUUGCGCCACCCUUCCGCCGCCGCGUGCGCGCCAUUUAAGCAGGCAGGCGAUCAGCUCUCCACCACGCCACUGUCCCGACGAGAGCAGGAGCUAGCUCGCGUCGAGUCAUAUUUUCUGCCUAAGGUACGCCCAGCUGCGAGACUAUUCUUCUGCUGAGCCAAGCAGGCAAAGCACGCGACGACGGUGUCCCGGAGGCCGUAGUCUCUGGUGCCGUCGUCGUCACUUGCGUGAAAACUGAAUAUCAGAAUAUCAGAUGCACGACUCGUUUAUCGCUUUUGUACUCAGGUCGGGGUCGCGCCGUACGACGCAGGCGCUGCUUGGAGAUGGAGCUGGUGCUGGUGAUCUCGCUGCCGCUCGUGGCCCUCGUCGUCAUCGUCGCCAUCAUCCUCUGCAUCAUCUGCCGCUGAUCGCAGACGAUGGCCUCUUCAGCCUGCACGGCCGUAUGCGUUGCGACGCCGGCGUCGCCUGCUCAUCAGUACCUCAAUUGUUUUGUAACCACAAAUUAAACACAUAAAGAACCAUCUUGCUGUGUCUGCACCAACAGCUUGUCUUCGUAACCAAGCGACUAGAGAUUUCUCCAGCGUUUCGAGUGAGUCUUGAUGUGGCCACAGAUGUGGGUAAGCUUGUACUAUCAGUUCACUGAUGAGUGACGAGAUUGCCAGUCCGUUAGAGGAUUCCGCGCGCCGUCACCUCCCGAUAUCAUUGCCCCAGCAGUUUGAGCCUUUCAGGGAUGGGAUGCUGUUCAUCCCGCGCUCCAUCCUGUAGGUUCAGGUUUCAGGGUUGUUCAUGUUCUUCAUGAUCCGGUUUCGCCUCAAUGGAAAUUCUCGAGUUUGCAGCCGUGCCUAGCUUCUCCCACUCCCACCUGCUUUUGUUCUCCACAAAUCCACCCUUCGAUUCCGAUCUUGGUUGCUUCUUCGUCCGUCCAUAUGCCUUCGCGACUCUAGCUGCUACUACUAGUCCUGCGAGUGGGAUAUACACGCUUACGCCGACGACGACGUCCUAGUUAGAUCAACGAAAAACGCUGGUACAUGUUUCUUCUUUGUUGAAAGCUGUUUGGUUUACGAAAUAUAACGUAAAUGAUAAAUGGCAAUGAUUCAUAUAUUGAGCACCAGCGUAAUAAGUUUAAAUAAGUUGAUAUUAGUUUUUAAUGUGAUACCUGAUUACAGUUAGACUUAAACAAAUAUAAUGUAACGAUACAAAUAUAUAAGGAUUCCUCUUCAUUUCUCUGGCCAUCAAAUACCCCUUCAGACUGUCUCCGGUAGCCUACUAUAAUCCUUAUCUCGCCCUUUAUUUCAAAUUUAACCGUAAUUACAAUCCAAAUUCGGUGUUUACAACUUAACCGUAAUUACAAUCCAAAUUCGGUGUUUACAAGAUCUCCUUCGGACAGCCGUAGGAGCAGAGAGAUCCUAGUUAUAGUGCGCCUUGCCAAGGGAGAGAGAGAGAAAAAG
Molecule: long non-coding RNA, 1526 nt
Filed under: Zea mays
Lineage: Eukaryota; Viridiplantae; Streptophyta; Magnoliopsida; Poales; Poaceae
Description: long non-coding RNA (ZMAY_LNC005895)
Source: RNAcentral